UAUAAUUGUCUAUAAAAGUUAUAACUGUAUUCGAAUUGUAGAAUGUUCGAAAAAAAAAUCGAACAGCCGUUACCAUAGUAGUCCUAGUUGUGAUUAUAAACAAUGAAAAAUAAUAACGCAUCAACGAGGAAUGAACCCGGUUUGACCGCAACCUAGAGCUGUUCAAACUUAUGAAUGAUUAAUUUGCACUAUUGAAUACCGUGGUCCCGGUAAUACAAAUGUCUUCGUCCAACCGCAAAAUGUUCCAAUUAGAAAUAGAAAUACUCGUCAACAUUAAUUGAAACAGUGGAUUCUCAAUUAUCUAUACACUACGGAACAUUUGUGGAUUGAAGGUUUCGGCGGAUACACUCUACUCGAAGUUCUUAUGCCCGACAUGUCAUAUCCAGCUGAGGGAUGCUUAUAACCUGUAACUAAUGGCUCAACGGUGCGAAGCAAAAUUUGUCUUUAAUAUCAAAAUCGGAACCAUACAUUAUGGACGACGAUGUUGACAUGAACCUGGGUGACGGCGGAGGUGUGGCCCCAACGAUCUCGCAUCAAACGAAUGACUAGUUCACCAAUACGGAUUUUGAAACUGAGCAAGAAACUUUACUUUUAUUUUAUUUAAAUGACCAGGUGCAACGCUAUAGCUUGUUGCAGAUGUGAUAAAGCUUUCUAAAACCUGAAAAGUCUGAGCAAGCAUUCAGACGACCAGAAUCGCACUAAUAACAGUCUUAGUAGCAUAAAGUGAGUUUCAGUGUAAAUGGUCGGUGUUAAGUCAGACCGGUCUAAGUCGCAAAACAUUAAAAAAUGAGAUAAUGAUAGCACUGGACAAAGAAUUUCUUUAGCUAUAUUCCACUUUUACCAGAUUUGAAAUACGUAACAAUAAGCAAGAAUUAUGGCAAAAAUUAAUUUCCGAUUAUAACGUAAAGGAUGCUGCGAUUCAAACUUUAAACUCGAUUUUCUCGAAAUCAAUACAUUGUUACUUAGUCCGGUCUGAUUUAACACCGACCAAAUGUAACUUUUCACGAAUUUUAUAUUUCACUAACAUUAGGCGAAACAGAAAGGUAAUCAAGUAAAGCCUCCGCGAAAAAUUGGAAAUGUUUUGUAUACUGCAGACGGUUUAAAUGUCUGAAAAUCCAACGAUUUAACGAAUAUGCUUUCUUUAGAAUUAUCCUAAGCGGUAUGAAUUCAAAAGGAAUUGAAAUAAGUGAAUCCAAUCCGGUUAAAAGUUUCGAUGUUAACGGUUUGGGCUGUUUUAUUUUGCUUCGAUGGUUGCUGUGGUUGUUUUUCGGUCUAUGAAACCAUUUUCUAAUUAAAGGCACAUCAUCAGAUUUGUAAAUCAAAUAGAAUGUAAAAAAAAAUGUAAAUGUAGCCCUUCACUAUUAUUUAACUUCACUAUAAUAGUUGAAUGGGGAGGUUAUUACCGAUAUUUCCGCUCAGCUCUCACAGUUCGAAGUUAAUAAGCAUAAUAUUAUGGUCAUGGCAGCUAACCUGGAGACGCUUCGACUGUAGCAAAUGUUAGCAAACCGGAGUGAAAAGGAGCAAGAAUUUUUUGCUCCGGAGCAACAGGGAGUAACUUCCGUGUACUGGAACAAACCUCAUACUCAUCAGAGAUCAACACCAAGAAACCAAAGAUCUAUCAAUAUCAUUACGGUGGUGAACCAGUGGAACGACCUUUCCAAUGCAAGAUAUAUCAGAAAAUGUUCAACGCCGGAAAUGAAGUUCGUUAUUAUCGGUAGCAGUCAUACAACCUAAACCGACAUGCAACAU
This is a long non-coding RNA of Topomyia yanbarensis, 1749 nucleotides long. RefSeq lists it as uncharacterized. Lineage: Eukaryota; Metazoa; Arthropoda; Insecta; Diptera; Culicidae. The transcript has 5 exons. The record is from RefSeq and is a predicted model, not a curated record.